RNAcentral lists this long non-coding RNA (384 nucleotides) under Capsicum annuum. Its description in RNAcentral is "long non-coding RNA (CANN_LNC015533)". The record is from RNAcentral. Lineage: Eukaryota; Viridiplantae; Streptophyta; Magnoliopsida; Solanales; Solanaceae.
GAGCAUCCUAACCAAAUAACUUAUAGCUAUUACUAAUAUACAACAAAAAAACAUAACAAAGAAGUGAGUAUUCUCUCUAGUCCUCCCUUUAGCUAUUCGUCUCCACUUCUUCUCUUUCUCGAUCUUCCUAAUCUUUUUCCAACUUCUCCAAUUUCAUAUUAAUCCCAUUAUCAUUUUGUUUGGAUUCUUUAGGCCUGUCAACUUCUUCUGAACCUUCCUCAAAUAAUUUGUUCAACCCAAUCAAUUUCUCAAUUUCAUUGAAAUGACAAGAUUCAACUAAAUUCUCAAGCUCACCUAGUUUCUCUAUUAGUUUAGGAAUCACAUAUUUGGACCUCGAAUCAAUAUCUUCUAUAUCCCUCCAACACCAAAAGUCGCAAGAUCUUG